CUACACAUGCAAGUCGAGCGGUAGCACAGAGAGCUUGCUCUCGGGUGACGAGCGGCGGACGGGUGAGUAAUGUCUGGGAAACUGCCUGAUGGAGGGGGAUAACUACUGGAAACGGUAGCUAAUACCGCAUAAUGUCGCAAGACCAAAGUGGGGGACCUUCGGGCCUCAUGCCAUCAGAUGUGCCCAGAUGGGAUUAGCUAGUAGGUGGGGUAACGGCUCACCUAGGCGACGAUCCCUAGCUGGUCUGAGAGGAUGACCAGCCACACUGGAACUGAGACACGGUCCAGACUCCUACGGGAGGCAGCAGUGGGGAAUAUUGCACAAUGGGCGCAAGCCUGAUGCAGCCAUGCCGCGUGUGUGAAGAAGGCCUUCGGGUUGUAAAGCACUUUCAGCGGGGAGGAAGGCGGUGAGGUUAAUAACCUCAUCGAUUGACGUUACCCGCAGAAGAAGCACCGGCUAACUCCGUGCCAGCAGCCGCGGUAAUACGGAGGGUGCAAGCGUUAAUCGGAAUUACUGGGCGUAAAGCGCACGCAGGCGGUCUGUCAAGUCGGAUGUGAAAUCCCCGGGCUCAACCUGGGAACUGCAUUCGAAACUGGCAGGCUAGAGUCUUGUAGAGGGGGGUAGAAUUCCAGGUGUAGCGGUGAAAUGCGUAGAGAUCUGGAGGAAUACCGGUGGCGAAGGCGGCCCCCUGGACAAAGACUGACGCUCAGGUGCGAAAGCGUGGGGAGCAAACAGGAUUAGAUACCCUGGUAGUCCACGCCGUAAACGAUGUCGAUUUGGAGGUUGUGCCCUUGAGGCGUGGCUUCCGGAGCUAACGCGUUAAAUCGACCGCCUGGGGAGUACGGCCGCAAGGUUAAAACUCAAAUGAAUUGACGGGGGCCCGCACAAGCGGUGGAGCAUGUGGUUUAAUUCGAUGCAACGCGAAGAACCUUACCUGGUCUUGACAUCCACAGAACUUUCCAGAGAUGGAUUGGUGCCUUCGGGAACUGUGAGACAGGUGCUGCAUGGCUGUCGUCAGCUCGUGUUGUGAAAUGUUGGGUUAAGUCCCGCAACGAGCGCAACCCUUAUCCUUUGUUGCCAGCGGUUAGGCCGGGAACUCAAAGGAGACUGCCAGUGAUAAACUGGAGGAAGGUGGGGAUGACGUCAAGUCAUCAUGGCCCUUACGACCAGGGCUACACACGUGCUACAAUGGCAUAUACAAAGAGAAGCGACCUCGCGAGAGCAAGCGGACCUCAUAAAGUAUGUCGUAGUCCGGAUUGGAGUCUGCAACUCGACUCCAUGAAGUCGGAAUCGCUAGUAAUCGUAGAUCAGAAUGCUACGGUGAAUACGUUCCCGGGCCUUGUACACACCGCCCGUCACACCAUGGGAGUGGGUUGCAAAAGAAGUAGGUAGCUUAACCUUCGGGAGGGCGCUUACCAC
This 1419-nucleotide ribosomal RNA is filed under the name Klebsiella pneumoniae. Its description in RNAcentral is "bacterial SSU rRNA". It matches the Rfam family "Bacterial small subunit ribosomal RNA". Lineage: Bacteria; Pseudomonadati; Pseudomonadota; Gammaproteobacteria; Enterobacterales; Enterobacteriaceae. The record is from RNAcentral.